AUUUAUAUAGCUUAAAUAUAAGAGCUUAAUAUUGAAGAUAUUACGGUAGAUCAUAGUAUUCUUAUAAAUA
Molecule: transfer RNA, 70 nt
Filed under: Agulla arizonica
Lineage: Eukaryota; Metazoa; Arthropoda; Insecta; Raphidioptera; Raphidiidae
Description: tRNA-Phe
Source: RNAcentral